GUGAGGAAUAUUGCGCAAUGGAGGCAACUCUGACGCAGCCAUGCCGCGUGCAGGAAGAAGGCGCUACGCGUUGUAAACUGCUUUUAACCGGGAAGAAACCCCAGGACGUGUCCUGGGUUGACGGUACCGGAGGAAUAAGCACCGGCUAACUUCGUGCCAGCAGCCGCGGUAAUACGAAGGGUGCAAGCGUUAUCCGGAUUCAUUGGGUUUAAAGGGUGUGUAGGCGGAGCGUUAAGUCAGUGGUGAAAUCCUGCAGCUUAACUGUAGACUUGCCAUUGAUACUGGCGCUCUUGAGUGCGCUUGAAGUGGGCGGAAUGUGCCGUGUAGCGGUGAAAUGCUUAGAUAUGGCACAGAACACCAAUUGCGAAGGCAGCUCACUAAGGCGAUUCUGACGCUGAGGCACGAAAGCGUGGGGAUCGAACAGGAUUAGAUACCCGAGUAGUCC
Molecule: ribosomal RNA, 445 nt
Filed under: uncultured bacterium
Lineage: Bacteria
Description: partial 16S ribosomal RNA
Rfam family: Bacterial small subunit ribosomal RNA
Source: RNAcentral